AUGUCGACGCCGGCGGACGGCGCGGCGUACUGGCUCCGGUGGCAGGUGUUGGUGUGCGGUGCGCUCAUCGCCGUGCCCACGGCGCUGGCGGCGGCGCUGCUGCCGCGGCUGCGGAGGUCGGUGGCGCCGCUCCGCGCCACGGACCUCUGGCUCCCCUGCUGGCCCCGCCUCCACCCGGGCUGGCUCCUCGGCUACCGCGCCUUCGCGCUCGCCGCCGCCGCCGCGCUCCUCGUCCGCGACAUCGUCCCCCACGGCCCCAGGGUCUUCUUCUUCUACACCCAGUGGACCUUUUUAUUAGUCACCAUAUAUUUUGCGGUUGCGACUGCUAUAUCAGCUCAUGGAUGUUGGUCAUACUCAAAGAAAAGCUUGAGAAAAGCUGAUGAAUAUGGCGAUGUUGAAAAUCGUGACCUCUCAGCUUCUAUUUCUGGAGAUAGGAAAAACGGUGAGAUAGACAAGAUGGCAAGCUAUUAUGAACAAAUAGCAAAUGAGAAAAGAGCUGCUUUCUGGGGACGUUGUAUGCAAAUCAUCUACCAGGCUAGUGCAGGAGCGACAAUGUUGACUGAUGUCACAUUUUGGGGACUCCUUGUGCCAUUCUUUUACCGUGAUAAGUUUGGGCUUUCCAUGGUCACUGAUGGCAUGCACUCUGUAAAUGCUGUUCUCCUACUCAUAGACACACUUCUCAACAAUAUGCCUUUUCCCUGGUACCGGAUCGCUUUCUUCGUAUUUUGGAGUUGCUCCUAUGUGACCUUCCAGUGGGUCAUUCAUGCUUCUGGAGCUUUAUCCUGGUGGCCUUACCCGUUUCUCGACCUUGCAUCGCCCGGGGCUCCGCUAUGGUACCUCGCCAUGGCCGUCGCUCAUGUCCCUUGCUUCUCUGCGUAUUGGCUGGUUGUCAAGGCGAAGCGCGCUUACUUCCCAAGGAUGUUCCCACAGGCUUACGUGAGGACAAGUUAG
RNAcentral lists this ribosomal RNA (951 nucleotides) under Triticum aestivum (bread wheat). RNAcentral's name for it is "partial small subunit ribosomal RNA". Lineage: Eukaryota; Viridiplantae; Streptophyta; Magnoliopsida; Poales; Poaceae. The record is from RNAcentral.